ACCAGCAAACCAGCUCUGGUUUGCUAAAAACAAUUUCCUGCAUAGACACAGGGAUAUUUACAUUUUGGCAAGUUCCCAAGCUUUCUACUAAGAGUUAGUCACAAAAGACAGAUGGCUUCCAAAUGGACAUGCUCACACACUGUUUGUGUUCAGUUAAAUCUCUAAUGUUUCAGUCAUCCCCAUGUGAAUCUUCUCAAGAAAUACAUACAUAAAUAAACACAGGUUUUCUCUUUUAAAACCACCAAAAGGAUUAGGAGACAAAGAUUUGUUACCAUUUUUUAGGCACAUGCAUGGGCACAUGCACACACUCAUGUUUCCUUUUGGUAAUUCUGCUUCUGUAAAUGCCUCCCUGGGUGAUACUUCAGAACACUUGGACAACCCCAACAAAUCCACAUCAUUCUAAAAAGAAUUAUGAAAUGUAACGAUUAAUGUAUUUAAAGGAGUUCCUGUCCUCACCAAAAGUAUACAUCUGAUUCAUGGCUUUCUUGAUUACACUUCCCACUUGCCCUCAGAAAAGAAAUAUAAUAGCAUAAGCUAAUAGAUGAUCCACUUAAAAGUGUGAUUUGAUCAGGCUGAGCUAUAUUUUAGUUCAGUCUUCAAUCUCAAGCCUGAAAUUAGGAAUAUUUUUCACAUCAGGAGUAAGAGGAAUGCAUGAAGUGCCUCAGUGGAACAGAGCCAUAGCCUAGCACCCUGCCUCUGAUGGUGGCUAGUGCCCAGUGCUUCCAAGAAAUGUGUAGUCCUCAUGUGACGCACAGUGAGUUGAAACAACUUAUCUUGAGGGGGGUGGGGGGAAAACUUAUGGCCUGAAGCUUGAAACACAACAAAACAUAGAGAAAAGUAAAACAAUAAAAAGAUUUGUUCUGAGGUUCUAAGUCUCCUAGAAAAUGUGCUCCAUCCCCUCAGCACCUAGAGUUAAUGAGUAGGAGUAGGUGAAACACAGCAUAAUGCCAUUUUAAUUUAAUGCAGUAUCACUUUACAAUACAUUCAGGCCAUUUCACUCUCUGCACCCACAAUACCCACAGUAACCUUCAAAUCACUGUCUGGAGCAAAGGCAGCAUGUCUCUCUCUCGCUCUCCCCGUGACUAGUAUGUACACACACCUCUGUAUUAUCUAGCUCACUGUGGAUCUGAUUCAAAGCUCAGUGAAGUCUAUAAGAAGGCUUCUACUGACUUCAAUGGUUGUUGGAUCAGGCCCAGUUCUUUUUGAGAAUGUUUUCCCCAGUAUAACAGAUCUACUUCAUAUUUGAUUAAACAAAUUGUGUUUGAAGAUAUAGCUGAGUAAACAGGAAAUCAGAUAUAUUCAAACACUGACAGGAUUCACAUAGAAACAUUCCAGUAACAUAGGAAAGAAUAUCAAAGCAGUAAUAUUACCUUGUAACUCCCAUUCUGGAUAAGAUGUUCCGUCACGCUCAGCUACUUUCCUAGCAUGUCAGAGCCACUUCAAUAUUGUAUAAAAUUUGCCAUGUAUGAAGAAUGUGGGAGUAUAAUGGAUUAUUUUAUGUAUUAUUGUUAUUAUGUAUUAUUUUAUAUUUUCUGAAUAUUUCUUUACUAUCAUGCUAUCUGCUAUGUGGAUGCAAAGAGUUAAUGAUAUGCUUACCAGGUGACUUUGGCAAAGGAAAGGAGGAAACUGGAACAAAUAACUUGGAAACUGUUAAAAGAUAUCAACCUUGAAGCUGAGGGAGAGAGAUAAGAUCUUGAGCAAAGCAGGUUGGACUCCAUUCUUAGAUGCUGGGAAAACUUGGGCCUACCAAAAUCUUAAGGAAAAUGCUAACUGUAGGCUGUAUUCUCAUCACACAAAAGACACUCGCCACUUCAGAUGUCUUUUUGAGCAGGACUGAAAAGCAGACAUCAUGUUUCUAUUUUGAAUCUCAUGUGGUAUAAGGGAGAAAGAGUGGGUGGUAGGAGAAUGCCAUGGGUCCUGCCCUGGACGGAAGUGCACAGAAAUCCUGGGCUGAAUUAACAAACUAACAUGCCCAUAAGCCAGAAAUACCUCCUAUCUGUAUAUCAACAAGAAACAUGGUGGAAGAACCAGAGCUUGUUUUUGCCAGUCUAGUCAAGAAGACUUCAGUUCCUCUACAUGACUAAAACUGAGACAAUGACCAGGGAACUAUUGUAGAAAAUGGCACUUAAAAUACCUUCUGAUGACUGCAAGAUUACAAGUUGUGUAACACUGUCUGCCUGAAAUAUGGAAACGAUACUAAAAGUUGCUAGACAAAGAAAAUGAUGCAGCCUACGGUAUCUGUUCAGCUUUGAGUAACCUUGUUGAGAUGCUACAUGUAUAUUUUUUCCAUAUUGUGAUGUUAAAUAUGAGGAAAUUAGAAACAUUUGUAGACCUACUUUUAGUUACUGUGUCUGAUGCUAAAUUUUAAUUGACUAAUACAGGACUAUGUUCUGCAAAUAUUAUUUCUGUGCUACUGUCUGAAAAAGUUUGAAGCCUUUUGAGUGAGCAUAAACUGCAAGUGACUUUAGAUGGGAUAACUUAUAUUCUUGAAUCUCCUCAAACGUACAUUCAUGAGGGAAUUAUAUGAGAACAUGCAGUCAGACUUUUCGAUUUAAUCAGAGAGCCAUUUGCAAAUCUAGAACUUAAGGACUUCUGAUAGCUAGAGUACCUGAUGGAAUUUGGAUUCAUAAACCAACUGAGGAAUUAAGCUCCACCAUUUAUAUUGCUUUUUUCCAUCUGUGAUAGAUGUAGUUUUGAGAUUUUUCAUAUUAAUAGGAAAUAAUGUUUGUUGAAUGCAUUCCACCAUGCAAUCACUAUGUAACAGUCAAGGUUGCUCAAUGCAACAACCACCAACCCAACAUGAGAAAAAUCAGCAGCUAACUUGUGUUAAACACACAACACAUAAACAAUGAUUUUAUAGAAAUCUGGCCCCAUUCUACAAGUGCACAUCUCUCCUCACAUUCAGAAGCAAGUGUUUCCCCAAAACAAUCUUGAAGCUGUCACUGGAGUGAUAAGUGCAUAACAUUUUAAGAAAUCUGAGGCAAUCUUUGACAGCCAUAGCUGGUGACACUAAAUUUAAGAAAUGGAGAGAGCCUUUAAAAAUCGAAGGGGCCAGUCAAAAAGUGAGGUAAUUAAAAUCCCUUGACUCAGCCUGAAGGGAACUCAAGCAUGCCAUACGAGUCACAAAAGUCAUGCAUGCCCACUAACUACAGAGGAAACAAGAAAGCAAGAAACUCAAGUAGGAUUGAAUGUCAAACUUCAAAAGAUUAUUUAUAUCAAACAGGUAAAUAAAAGUUAAAAAUCCAGCCCUAUAUAAUAGUCAAGAACAUAAACUAUGGCUGUUAAAAUGUAACUUGGCUCAGAGGGAUUUUGAAGAGCAAAUACCCAAAUAUAUCAAAGUAGGUAAGAAAUUAGUUCAGCAAGUCAGUAUUAGGAAGCCUGUGAGAAUCAACUGGUGUACUAGAGCAGCGGUUCUCAACUGUGGGUCGCAACCCCUUUUUAAUGGGGUCGCCAGGGCUGGUGUUAGACUUGCUGGGUCCUGGGGCUGGGUCUGAAGGCUAAACCCCGAGCCCCACUGCCCGAAGUUGGAGAGCUUCAGCCCUGAGCAGCAGGGUUCAGGUUAUAGGCUCCCUGCCUGAGGCUGAAACCCUUGGGUUUCAACUUUGUCCCGCUCUCCCAUGCAGGGCAGGAUGGGUCUCAGGCUUUGGCCUUCCCAUCCAGGGCGGUGGGGCUUGGGAGGGCUCAGGCUUCAGUUUCCUCUCCUGGGGUCGUGUAGUAACUUUUGUUGUCAGAAGGAGGUUGUGAUGCAAUGAAGUUUGAGAACCCCUACCAUGGAGUUAAGGGAAAGGGUGCAAUGGUGAAAGAUAACUACACUCUAGAGAUUUCUUCACCCCAGAGGUUUCUUUGCAGCAGCGUUCAUUACAGAGGAGAUACCUACCCUGGGUACUCUUUUCAAAUAAUAAAGAUGAAAUGCUGUCAGAGACAGUGCAGCUGAUGGAUGAUCAAGCCAGUUGUUGCUCAGGAAGUUCAUGCUGUGGUCAAGUUGUAAACUGAACUCAGUACACUGAAGAUGGCUUUGAAAUGUGCAAAAUUACAGGAGAUGUAUCUGUUGACCUGUUGGAUGCUUAUGACACUGUGAACCAUUGUACACUUUUGUUAAAACUGGCAAGAAUUCUGAGAAAUAGCAAGGUGCUCUAGGUCACCUCCUCCCUGCUCAAGCAUCAAUAUUCCUUUGUUGAAAUGGAUGAUCAGAAGUCAAUGGAAGGAUUACCCCAAGGUUCAGUACUAUUACCUUUGCUGUUUAAUGUCUAUACAACUGCCCAACCAGAACUCCCCAAUGCGCAAAGAUUCAUUUGUGCAGAUGAUCUUUGCAUCAUCACCCAGUUGGAAAGAUUUGAGGACACUGAGCACAUUCUAACUAGUACCCUGAAUGUGCUUGGAAAAUGCUACUGCACAUGGUUCCUAAAUGCCAACCCUAGCAAGACACAAGAGCGUGCCUUCCAUCUAAAAGUCAGGCCAAGCAACAACUCUAGAUAUAGUGGGAUAGUAAAACAGUACAAUCCUUGAGCACUGUGAACAUUGGGUAUACUUUGGGGUCACAUUAGAGCAAAUGCUGACAUUCAAAAGAACACAUCAAGAAGUUUAAAAAGAAAGUGAA
Long non-coding RNA from Gopherus evgoodei (Goodes thornscrub tortoise), 4597 nucleotides. RefSeq lists it as uncharacterized. The transcript is spliced from 4 exons. The record is from RefSeq and is a predicted model, not a curated record. Lineage: Eukaryota; Metazoa; Chordata; Testudines; Testudinidae.